AAAGACCCUCCGCCAGGCGCAGCGAGUUGUCGUCGCCUGCCAGGGCAGCGCCGCCGCGUGCCGCUUCCUGAUGGGCGGAAGGCACGCCGGCCAGCUCCGCGAUGUGGCGGACGACAUCGACUCGUACCUGUUGCUAAUCCCCCUUGUGAGCCAUGUCCACGGCGCCCGUCCUGCGAAACCUACCUUCCCUGAUGGUGGUGCAUUUACACCAUCAAAGGACUCGGAAGAAGCACUGCUAUUAUUUAGCAACCAUUCAAAUUCAGAUGCAAGGUACACAAUCAUAUCCCUAUAUAUAAAGAUCUUAGCGAGCCCCCAAACUGAGGAAUCAAACUUACCUAAGUAGACCAUUCCAUCGUAAGAAACCUACACUCAGCUUGUUUCCCUUGGUGAAAUGAGGGCGCUAGUUUUGUAGACAUGAAGUCAAGUAAUAAUUACAUUGUAUCAUCUAUUUUGCUACUUGCUUAAUAUCGUGAGGUUUGACAUGAAUGCUGGAGCAAGAAGGAAGCUGCGGGCUAAGGGCCCCGGGACGCCCGAUGAGGACAAGACCCCAUAGGCCAUAAGUUUGCCGCCGUGUAGGCCUGACAAAGGCAUCCGCGUUGGAGGAUCCUUCUUCACAGAACGCGGGGAUGCAUACAGCUCAAUUACAAUGAAUGAUAAUCCUCCUCCAUGUCUCCAUAACCGCCACAAACUCAAG
Long non-coding RNA from Panicum hallii, 694 nucleotides. RefSeq lists it as uncharacterized. The transcript is spliced from 4 exons. NCBI's taxonomy places the organism in Eukaryota, Viridiplantae, Streptophyta, Magnoliopsida, Poales, Poaceae. The record is from RefSeq and is a predicted model, not a curated record.